RNAcentral lists this long non-coding RNA (568 nucleotides) under Chinchilla lanigera (long-tailed chinchilla). RNAcentral's name for it is "lncRNA (ENSCLAG00000027356.1)". The record is from RNAcentral. Lineage: Eukaryota; Metazoa; Chordata; Mammalia; Rodentia; Chinchillidae.
UUUCAACGCUGCAGAAUUCUUUUUCAGAACUUUGAUAUCUUCCUACAAUUCUUCUUGAGAUUUACUCUACUAAUCAAAACCCAUCACCACGAACCUCUAAGUAUUUCUCCACCUCAGUUUCUGUUGAAACUGCUGUAAUACAAUGUCCUGGAUUCCUAGGAGCCCAACUGUUUAAGUGAAUUAUCUUUGAGACAGCACCCUCGGUGUUUCUGCACCUUCUCCACUUUCCAAUUAGUAUGCUGGGAGAGGAUGAUGUCCCAAAAUUUCAGCAAAGAGAGCAGAGUCUUUAACAUCUGUCCUGAUCAUUAGGCAGCUGCAUGUGUAUUAAGAAGAGAGUAAGGGGGAAGUCACCUACACAUGAGCUCAGCGGACAGCGACAUCCUGCCCGGCUCGAUGGCCCAGGCCAUCACUGCAGCGCAUCGGUCUUCCUCUGUCCUCUGCACAUGACUCAUUUCACUCCCGCUGCUGUCUGAUGACACCAUCGCCCAAGCGCACGGGCAAGCUGCUUUUCUGAUUUACAGGAUAGAGACCUUAGAAUUAGAAGAGUGGAGGGAGCCCCAACUCGCCG